RNAcentral lists this transfer RNA (72 nucleotides) under Marmota marmota marmota (Alpine marmot). It matches the Rfam family "tRNA". From Rfam's summary of the family: Transfer RNA (tRNA) molecules are approximately 80 nucleotides in length. Their secondary structure includes four short double-helical elements and three loops (D, anti-codon, and T loops). Lineage: Eukaryota; Metazoa; Chordata; Mammalia; Rodentia; Sciuridae. RNAcentral also lists the same sequence under 4 other names. The record is from Rfam by way of RNAcentral.
UGGGUUGUGGCUCAGUGUUGGAGCACUUGCCUGGCAAGUGUGAGGCGCUGGGUUCAAUCCUCAGCACCACAU